ACUGGGUGUGGUGGUGCACACCUGUAGUCCCAGCUACUCGGGAGGCUGAGGUGGGAGGAUUGCUUGAGCCCAGGAGGCGGAGGCUGCAGUGAGCCAUGAUGGUGCCACUGCAUUGCAGCCUGGGCAACAAGGCAAGACCCUGUCUCAA
Macaca fascicularis (crab-eating macaque) is the source of this 148-nucleotide unclassified non-coding RNA. It matches the Rfam family "Metazoan signal recognition particle RNA". Rfam says of the family: The signal recognition particle (SRP) is a universally conserved ribonucleoprotein. It is involved in the co-translational targeting of proteins to membranes. NCBI's taxonomy places the organism in Eukaryota, Metazoa, Chordata, Mammalia, Primates, Cercopithecidae. The record is from Ensembl.